CUGUGAAUGGGCGAUUGCUCUUAUAUUGUUCACAGUCCGUUGCUUCUCGCACGCAGCAGCGGGUGCAGAGUACUACCAGGAAAUUGCAAAUCGCUAGUAGGAAAACAAAACCAGCAUUUAGAGAAGCAGAUUCUUCAGCGAACGAUUAAGAGUGUGACUAUGGGGAAGUCAGCUUCCAAACAGUUUGCAGAAGAGGUCUUAAAAGCCCACAAUGACUACAGGAAGAAGCAUGGUGUUCCCUCGCUAAAACUCUGCAAAAAGUUAAACAGAGAAGCACAGCAGUAUUCAGAAGCACUUGCAAGCACAAGAAUCCUCAAACACAGUCCUGAAUCUAGUAGUGGAAAAUGUGGGGAAAAUCUAGCAUGGGCUUCUUAUGAUCAGUCAGCCAUCUUACCUUAAGUUCAUCUGACUGGCCUUCUAAUAACGACUGGAAGGGAGAGAUGAACGUCAGCCUUGGUGGUCUAGCAGGUUCCUGCUUCCCAGAGUCCUUGAGGCCAAGCCUAUGAAUAGCUCUGCACAUGUGGCUGCCGAUAUAGUUUUGGCCCUUUGUUUAGACAAUUUUUCUGCCCUUGCAAAUUGGUGACAUUUUUCCAUGGUUAGACCUACCUCUCUCAGCAGUGUCCCCCUGAAGGCGAAGUUCUAUAUGUCACACACAAUUCUGUCCCUGAUUAGGGAGUCUUUUAUGGCUCCAAAGUUACACGUGGAAGUCACGAGUUUUCAGUGUUGUGAAAUAAGCAUCUAUUCCUUCCCCUUUCUGUUGUUUUAAAGUAAAAACCAAUCUCUUUAUAUGGUCUCACUUGCUCUGGGUUCACAGAAUGCAUCAGACACUUCUAUUAACUGUUUUAGAGUUCCAGGUUUCCCUGAAAUCAGUGUUGCACUUAAUUCACAGCCCUUCCACCCACCACACUAGACAGUAAAAUAUAUUUAUCUUUUUCUCCUCUUUAUCAGCCAUGAUGACUGAAUUCUUGUUUCCACUGCUUCCAGGCUCCUUGUGUUAAAAUCCAGUUGGCCUGGAGCUUUAUGGACUUCCAUGCUUCUCACAAUCUGCUUUAAUCGCUGCUGGGGCCUGGAUCGGUCUCUCUUCCUCACAAAAAAGUCUACUGCCGCAAUGCUUUGUGCAACACUGUUUGUGUAAUGAAAGAGUAACUCCCAACUUAAUAUGAACAGUGUCCUGUACUAAGAUUGUUUCUUUACAGAGCAGUUACAGGGCCUGUUGUUCUGUACCUACCUCUAUCCAUCUCCCACUGACUCGACUUCAUUUCCUGCUCCUCCUUCAAACUCCUUCCCCCUGUUAUUGCUGGUUUUACUUCUGAGUUGUAUAUGUAUUAUAAUAAUUCGAUCGUGUGGAAGGGUAAAUUAGUUUCUUUCUGGUUUGCCCAUAAAGCUGUUCC
This is an RNA transcript of Rhineura floridana, 1391 nucleotides long. It is a transcript of the gene named GLI pathogenesis related 2, with no coding region annotated. The record is from RefSeq and is a predicted model, not a curated record. The transcript is spliced from 5 exons. NCBI's taxonomy places the organism in Eukaryota, Metazoa, Chordata, Lepidosauria, Squamata, Rhineuridae.